This 74-nucleotide ribosomal RNA is filed under the name Stryphnodendron rotundifolium. RNAcentral describes it as "partial 28S ribosomal RNA". It matches the Rfam family "Eukaryotic large subunit ribosomal RNA", at positions 1 to 80 of the family's 3401-position model. Lineage: Eukaryota; Viridiplantae; Streptophyta; Magnoliopsida; Fabales; Fabaceae. The record is from RNAcentral.
CAGGUCAGGCGGGGCUACCCGCUGAGUUUAAGCAUAUCAAUAAGCGGAGGAAAAGAAACUAACAAGGAUUCCCC